Stegastes partitus (bicolor damselfish) is the source of this 826-nucleotide long non-coding RNA. RefSeq lists it as uncharacterized. The transcript has 2 exons. The record is from RefSeq and is a predicted model, not a curated record. NCBI's taxonomy places the organism in Eukaryota, Metazoa, Chordata, Actinopteri, Pomacentridae.
GGUGUUUUUCUGACAGUUCAUCGCAGGUCUGAGUCUCUUUCUGAAGCGCUCAGUGUGUUAAAGUCAUGUGGGCGUUUGUCCCUCUGCUGUGUCUGACAGGCUCUGGAGUUCAGCGCCAAAACAUCAGACGGGAAACACUGUGCGAAGAAGCUGAAGCUGAUGGCGGAGCGGCGUCUGAGGAACAACCCAGCAGACGGCGCCUCCUACGGCAUUCUGGGAUACGUGGCCCAAGCUGAGGGCGACUGCAGGAGGGCGGCAACGUUCUACGAGAAAGCUCUGCAGAGAGACGCCGAGAACACCGAGUACCUGUCGGUUCUGUGUGAGCUCCGUCUGCAGCUGGACUGAGUCUGCAGCAGCAUCUUCAUCUCUACGGAACCAAAACACAACACAACAAGAGCAUAACACAAACGUAACAAGAACCUCUCAAUAAACUGUUAGCAUCAGGUCGGAGAAAGCUGCACGAGGAGAACCGAGUCUGAGCUCCUCUGACUGGACGCUCAGGGUCCAGGUUGGUUUUGGAAAACGUUCAGUUCAUUCUAGUCAAAGACAUCAGACAGUCUGCUUCCAACAGGUUUCAGGUGUUUCUAUAUCAAGCUUAACUCAUUUCAAACAUGUUCUGUAUCAUUCUGGAGAAGUUUUGAUUCACUUUAGAUGAUCUGACCUAAUUUUAGACGAGUUUUAAGACGUUUUGGACAAGUUAGUUUAAAUGUGGGCACUUUUGAACUCAUUUGGAUGAACCUGGACCAGCUGACGUCGCUUCAUAUCAGCUUGUAUGUGUGGUGCAUGUUGGUGAUGAUGGAUUAAACCUGGUGCUGAUGAAAGCUCU